AAAAUCUCAAAUUUGGACACAUCAAACGAAAGGACAGAUUUCCCCCGAUCUAAUAUCCAUUGCUCGUGUUUCUUGACCCAAGCAAGUCUCCUCUUCUUAUUGGUGUCUUUAGAAGUGGUUUCUUUGCAGCAAUUCGACCAUGAAGGCCUGAUUCACGCAGUCUACUCUGAACAGUUGAUGUUGAGAUGUGUCUGUUACUUGAACUCUGUGAAGUAUUUAUUAGGGCUGCAAUUUCUGUGGCUGUGCAGCAAAGGUAUCUCUGGGUCUUCCUUUCCUGUGGCGGUCCUCAUGAGAGCCACUUUCAUCAUAGCACUUAAUGGUUUUUGAAACUGCACUUGAAGAAAUGUUCAAAGUUCUUGACAUUUUCCAUUUUGACCUUCAUGUCUUCAAGUAAUGAUGGACUGUUGUUUCUCUUUGCUUAUUUCAGCUGUUCUUGACAUAAUAUGGACUUGGUCUUUUACCAAAUAGGGCUAUCUUCUGUAUACCACCCCUACCGUGUCACAACACAACUGAUUGGCUUAAACACAUUAAGAAGGAAAGAAAUUCCACAAAUGUACUUUUAACAAGGCACACCUGUUAAUUGAAAUGCAUUCCAGGUGACUACCUCAUGAAGCUGGUUGAGAGAAUACCAAGCGUGUGCAAAGCUGUCAUCAAGGCAAAGGGCGUCUACUUUGAAGAAUCUCAAAUAUAACAUUAUAUUUGGAUUUGUUUAACACUUUUCUUUUGCUUACUGCAUGAUUCCAUAUGUGUUAUUUCAUAGUUGUGAUGUCUUCACUAUUAUUCAACAAUGUAGAAAAUUGUAGAAAUAAAGAAAAACCCUUGAAUGAGUAGGUGUGUCAACUUUUGACUCCUACUGUAUAUAUAUAUAUGUGUGUGUGUGUGUGUGUGUGUGUGUGUGUGUGUGCUGCUACUGUGUGUGUGGAGCUUGGUGGGUCUGGCAGGACUUCACGCCUCGUCUCUCCCAGUAAUGACCCCCUACUCUAGGCAUGGUCCUCUCCAGACAGGCCAGCACCCGAGGGCAGGGGCCGGAACAUUCUUGCCAGAUUGCUUUUCAAAUCCCAAAAUGUAUCCUUUUCCAGCUCUUGUUCGCUAGACAGAUAGUUCCUUUUCUCUUCUUUCUUCUUUCUCAUCACUCUUUCUGUUCCUCUCAUCUUGUAGAUUGGUUGUAGAUGGGUAGGGGGGGUCAGAGGUCAAGUGAAGGAGCUAAGCCUGAGUGGAGGUAUUUUUAAGAUCCUAGGGGAGGUAGUGGACAUUGUGGAGAGGAAAUCUCUCUCACAGAAACACGUCCCACUGCUUCACAACUCAUUUGGAGUUGGUCAUUUACAUUGUUGUUACAUCAUUAUAAUUCGAAUUACCAUUUUAUUGUAAUUUUUUAGGUAUAUAGUGGUAAAUACUGUAGCAUACCAUAAGAUAAAGAGUUUUUGUCAUGUAAUAAGUAGACAUUCAUUCCUCUCUCUCUCUGUUGUUUUCCAGGUUUGCCUCUGCAGGAGAUGAUGGCCUGGUGUUGGUGUGGAACGUUGAGAUGCACAAUCGAGAGCAUCCUGUCGGGCUGUAUCACCGCCUGGUACGGCAACUGCUCCGCCAACAACCGUAAGGCUCUCCAGAGGGUAGUGAGGUCUGCACAACGCAUCACCGGGGGCAAACUACCUGCCCUCCAGGACACCUACACCACCCGAUGUCACAGGAAGGCCAAAAAGUUUAUCAAGGACAACAACCUCCCGAGCCACUGCCUGUUCACCCCGCUAUCAUCCAGAAGGCAAGGUCAGUACUGGUGCAUCAGGGACUGAAAAACAGCUUCUAUCUCAAGGCCAUCAGACUGUUAAACAGCCAUCACUAACAUUGAGUGGCUGCUGCCAACAUAUUGACUCAACUCCAGCCACUUUAAUAAUGGAAAAAUUGAUGUAAUCAAUUUAUCACUAGCCACUUUAUAUUAUAUAAUGUUUACAUACCCUACAUUACUCAUCUCAUAUGUAUAUACUGUACGCCAUACCAUCCACUGCAUCUUGCCAUCUUGAUGUAAUUAAAUGUAUCACUAGCCACUUUAAACAAUGCCACUUUAUGUAAUGUUUUCAUACCCUACAUUACUCAUCUCAUAUGUAUAUACUGUACGCUAUACCAUCUACUGCAUCUUGCCUCUGCCGUUCGGCCAUCACUCAUGUAUUUUUAUGUACAUAUUCGUAUUCAUUCCUUUACACUUGUGUGUAUAAAGUAGUUGUUGUGGAAUUGUUAGGUUAUAUGAC
This is a long non-coding RNA of Oncorhynchus tshawytscha (Chinook salmon), 2240 nucleotides long. Lineage: Eukaryota; Metazoa; Chordata; Actinopteri; Salmoniformes; Salmonidae. The record is from Ensembl.